ACAAAUCCCUAAAGAAAAUCUGAAACCGGUAUCAUCCUUCGCGUAAACUUUGAGCCUAUCAAGUUAGAACGCUGACCGUUGUGUCUUGUUUCAAAAAAAAGUGUGUGUAAGUGUUAUAUCUGCUCUUGUUCUUAGUUAUAAAAAAACAAAGUAUCAAAAAAAGAAGGAAAGUGAAAAAAAAGAAGAGUUGAGGAAGAAAAGUUGUGAAGAAAGAGUAGAAAGUUCACUCUGUUUAUGUGCUCAAGUUCUGAAUUUUAUAUCAAGUCACACAAGCAGUCAUUAUCCAUCUUUGGUGCAAAAUUUUGCUUGGGUUUGAUUGCAACACUUGCAUCCUAGGCAUACUCCUUGUUUG
Molecule: long non-coding RNA, 352 nt
Filed under: Sorghum bicolor (sorghum)
Lineage: Eukaryota; Viridiplantae; Streptophyta; Magnoliopsida; Poales; Poaceae
Description: long non-coding RNA (SBIC_LNC017504)
Source: RNAcentral